AGCAUUUGGCAGAUGAGGAAUUUUAAAAUGUUUUGCUGCUUCCACGAUUUUCAGGGACAUCUUAGCUAUUUCUGAUGCGUGGUUUGGAAUACGCUUGGGUAACCCUGAUGCAACCAUGUCUAAAAUAAAACACAGAAAUUUUCUAUAAUUUCAUCAAAUACUGUGUAGAGUCUGUUCAGUAAUCCUACAACUUCUAAUGCCGAACUUUUGGAGCAUAGUACUGUAAAACCAACAAUAUCGCUGAAGUAUAUGGUGCAUUGGUCAAACGAUUCUGCCUGCACAGAUAGUCCGGUCUUUAAGGAAUCAGCUACUGAUCUAGGUUGGUAGAACACAAAAAUAUCCCAGUGUCACGUGACAUAGUUUCUUUUACUGUCCUACGUCCAGCCUGGGAAUAGUAUAUCUAAUAUGUCAAUAUAUAUGUUCCUGGUCCAGCAAGAAAACAGCAACAAAAAAACCUAUUUAGUCGAGACCAUUUGUAAAUCCUGGAUUGGUUGUAUAAAAAGAUUUGUAUAUAGAUUUGGUGUAUUAGCAGACAGUCAAAUAACGAUAAGUGCACUUUUAAGAAUAUGUUCUUACAAUUAUAACAUAAUAAUUGUAUUUAACCGUAAAUUAAUAUUUAAUUGUAUUAAGAACCUCUUAAUGUGUAGUUAAGCGCAAUAACUGAUCAUUGAAUAGAAAAAGUACUGCAUGUAUUUCUCACACGCAACUGGCAGGCAAUUUAAAACGAAAGUAUUUCUGUUUUCAAUUUAAAACACAAUCACGCGAUCAGUAGCGUAUCAAACAUAUUGAUUCAGUAUUAAUACAUAUAUUCUGUCAAAAAUCUGUUGCAAAAUUUGUUCAUGUCUUUAGA
Long non-coding RNA from Mytilus californianus (California mussel), 850 nucleotides. RefSeq lists it as uncharacterized. NCBI's taxonomy places the organism in Eukaryota, Metazoa, Mollusca, Bivalvia, Mytilida, Mytilidae. The record is from RefSeq and is a predicted model, not a curated record. The transcript has 3 exons.